UGGGGAAUUUUGCGCAAUGGGGGCAACCCUGACGCAGCAACGCCGCGUGAGUGAUGAAGGCCCUUGGGUCGUAAAGCUCUGUCAGAGGGAACGAAGUGCAGGGGGCUAAUAUCCCUUCUGUUUGACGGUACCCUCAAAGGAAGCACCGGCUAACUCCGUGCCAGCAGCCGCGGUAAUACGGAGGGUGCGAGCGUUGUUCGGAUUUAUUGGGCGUAAAGGGCGUGUAGGCGGUUUCAUAAGUCUGAUGUGAAAGCCCCGGGCUCAACCUGGGAAGGGCAUUGGAAACUGUGGGACUUGAGUACGGGAGAGGGCAGUGGAAUUCCCAGUGUAGGAGUGAAAUCCGUAGAUAUUGGGAGGAACACCGGUGGCGAAGGCGGCUGCCUGGACCGAUACUGACGCU
Molecule: ribosomal RNA, 400 nt
Filed under: uncultured bacterium
Lineage: Bacteria
Description: bacterial SSU rRNA
Rfam family: Bacterial small subunit ribosomal RNA
Source: RNAcentral